CUCUGCGCAGCCAAUCCGCCAAUCUUUGUUGUGAUUGGUCCUCCAGGCAGUAGCGCGCAUGCGCGCCGGAAAGCGGAAGUGGCGUACCUGUGUUCUGACCGCUCUGCGCAGCUAAUCCGCCAAUAUCUAUUGUGAUUGGUCCUCCAGGUAGUAGCGCGCAUGCGCGCCUAGAAGCGGAAGGGGCGUGUCUACGUUCUGACCGCUCUGCGCAGCCAAUCCGCCAAUCUCUAUUGUGAUUGGUCCUCCAGGUAGUAGCGCGCAUGCGCGCCGGAAAGCGGAAGUGGCGUCCCUAUGUUCUGACCGCUCUGCGCAGCUAAUCCGCCAAUCUUUAUUGUGAUUGGUCCUCCAGGCAGUAGCGCGCAUGCGUCCAAAAGAGUCCAACUAUCACCCGUCACUACGACCCAGUAAAGGGCGGGCGAGCAGUCAUUUCGUGGACUGCUGGCUCAACGAUGUUCUCCCUCUUCCAAUCCAGGAUGGCCUUUGUCUGUUUCCAUGGUUCUAUGCCCGAGUCCAAACAGGAACUUGACUGUUUCAGCUCCAAGCAGUCCUUGUGCACAUCGCGGCAUCCAAUUGGCUCGUUGUUGCAUGUGACUGUCAGGUGCAUGCCCCAGCACUGCGCACACGUGCUAGCUCAGCGGUUCUCGCUGCUGCCAUCCAUUGAAGAGAAUUCGGUACUGCAUGCGCUGCUCAGAUCCUGCAGGCAGCACAAUGCAUGCGCGCAGAAAUGCAGAAGUGGCGUAUCUGAGUUCAGACCACUAUGUGCAGUGAACACGCCAAUCUUCAUUGUGAUUAGUCAUCCAGGCGGCUGUGCACAUGCGCUCGAGGACAUGCAGAAGACAUGGAUUUCUCCAAAUUCUUUGCAGUGGAGGCGAGCAGAGCAGCCAUGGACCGUCAGCUCUGAGCAAUGCUCCCCUGUCUACUCCGCAAUGUCUCUUGUCUAAUUCUGUGUUUUUAUGCCUGCACCCGCGCCGAGCACUGGCCGUUUUGUCUCGAGAGUGCCCAUGCACGCACCGUGGCAUCUGAUUGGCUAAUCGCGGCAUGAGAUUGACAGGUGCCCGCCCCAACGCUGCGCAUGCGCACUAGCUCUGCGACACUUGCUUCUGCCACCUAUUGAAGAGAAUUCAGUACUGCAGGUGCUGCUCUGCACAUGCGGAUGGCUUCGUUUUCUGUAGCUGCUCAAGAGCAGCGCUUCUGUCUGUCUUUCCCUUCUGCCAGUUCACAGCCCUGGGAAUGGACUGGUUCGGCUCACAGCUGCCCCUGAAUGCCUCAUGGCAUCCAAUUUGCUCAUUGCUGCGGUGGACUGGCAGGCACCCCCCAGCCAUUUAAUAACUGCUCUCUGCUGCAGGGGAUCUGGAGCUGCUCAGAGAUUCCUGGGGCAUGGUACUGAUGUGGAGCCAUCCCCAGAACCAGUGUGGAGUGGCCCCAGCACUGAAACAUCCCAGGCCCGGCUUGGAGUGUCUCUGUGGUCACCCCAAGUGGCACACUGCCCAGCUUCCUAGGAGUUGCUUUUCCACCGUCUCUGGGCACCUCGCCACGUGCUGCAGGUAAGCAGCCACGCCCACAGGGUGCAGCCAUGUUGCUCGGCGCGUGCCUGCCUCAGAGGCGCUGCCCUGCAUGCGUGGAUAAUGCCUGCAGUACCGCCCGGAGACCAGUGGAGGGCACUAGGGAGCUGCGGAGCUGCCGGGAGGGGGAAGAACCGCUCCGUGGCUCUGCAGGGGAACAGAACAAAUCCUGAAACAGAGCAGGAAGCAAGCAGGAAACCGCAUCAUGCUAGACUGAAUGGGGAAAACCCCCCACCUGAUCACCUGCCGAUUCUUGCCCGGAUGCUGCUCAGCAAUGGAAAGAUGCAAGUCCAGGCCCUUCAGUGACUUCCCCCUCCCCAGGAGGCACACUCCGAGCUGGUGCCACGUGAUCCUGCUGCCACAAUGGAAGCUGAACCCUGAGACAGACCCCAGGGCACCAUAACACAGACCAGCUGCUUCUACUGCACCCUCAUCCACACACCACCUCAGCAGGAACAGUCCUGAAUCCACCCUAGAAAUGGGUGCUGCCCCCUCCCCUUUGCCCCAAUCUCUCCUUCCGCCAUGGCGCAGCACCGGGGGUCCUCCCACAAAAGCUGGUCCCUAGACAAGGCACAAGAAUGCCUUUGCUUCAUCCCAAAUUACACUGCACUAAAAUGCCCUGUUUUGGCCCUAUA
This is a long non-coding RNA of Numida meleagris (helmeted guineafowl), 2197 nucleotides long. RefSeq lists it as uncharacterized. The record is from RefSeq and is a predicted model, not a curated record. Lineage: Eukaryota; Metazoa; Chordata; Aves; Galliformes; Numididae. The transcript is spliced from 2 exons.